Molecule: ribosomal RNA, 273 nt
Filed under: uncultured Delftia sp.
Lineage: Bacteria; Pseudomonadati; Pseudomonadota; Betaproteobacteria; Burkholderiales; Comamonadaceae
Description: partial 16S ribosomal RNA
Rfam family: Bacterial small subunit ribosomal RNA
Source: RNAcentral
UACGUAGGGUGCGAGCGUUAAUCGGAAUUACUGGGCGUAAAGCGUGCGCAGGCGGUUAUGUAAGACAGAUGUGAAAUCCCCGGGCUCAACCUGGGAACUGCAUUUGUGACUGCAUGGCUAGAGUACGGUAGAGGGGGAUGGAAUUCCGCGUGGAGCAGUGAAAUGCGUAGAUAUGCGGAGGAACACCGAUGGCGAAGGCAAUCCCCUGGACCUGUACUGACGCUCAUGCACGAAAGCGUGGGGAGCAAACAGGAUUAGAUACCCCCGUAGUCC